RNAcentral lists this small nucleolar RNA (75 nucleotides) under Oryzias sinensis (Chinese medaka). RNAcentral's name for it is "Small nucleolar RNA SNORD59 (ENSOSIG00000003549.1)". It matches the Rfam family "Small nucleolar RNA SNORD59". Rfam says of the family: U59 belongs to the C/D class of snoRNA which contain the C (UGAUGA) and D (CUGA) box motifs. Most of the members of the box C/D family function in directing site-specific 2'-O-methylation of substrate RNAs. Lineage: Eukaryota; Metazoa; Chordata; Actinopteri; Beloniformes; Adrianichthyidae. The record is from Rfam by way of RNAcentral.
UCUUCUGUGAUGAUUUAAUACAGUGACUUUCGUUCUUCUGAGAUUACUGAAGCCAAAAUUUCUGUCCUGAGAAGA